UACAGAGGGUGCGAGCGUUAAUCGGAAUUACUGGGCGUAAAGCGUGCGUAGACGGCUAUCUAAGUCGGGUGUGAAAGCCCCGGGCUCAACCUGGGAAUUGCAUUCGAGACUGAAUAGCUAGGGUACGGUAGAGGGAAGCGGAAUUUCCGGUGUAGCGGUGAAAUGCGUAGAUAUCGGAAGGAACAUCAGUGGCGAAGGCGGGUCUCUGGGCCGAUACUGACGCUGAGGAGCGAAAGCGUGGGGAGCGAACAGG
This 253-nucleotide ribosomal RNA is filed under the name uncultured bacterium. Its description in RNAcentral is "partial 16S ribosomal RNA". It matches the Rfam family "Bacterial small subunit ribosomal RNA", at positions 524 to 776 of the family's 1533-position model. The record is from RNAcentral.